Molecule: long non-coding RNA, 1142 nt
Filed under: Sinocyclocheilus grahami
Lineage: Eukaryota; Metazoa; Chordata; Actinopteri; Cypriniformes; Cyprinidae
Description: lncRNA (ENSSGRG00000010723.1)
Source: RNAcentral
UUCAAGAAAAAAGUGAUCGCUCCAUUCGCCCGAUUCUGCUUAAAAAGGCGUUUCUUUCUUCUCUUUUAAAACGAUGAUUAGAAAAAAUACUGCUUGAAACGCUCGUCCCUUUUCAAAGGAAAGAGAGCAGUUCUGUUUUGGCAGGUUUGAACAACUUGACAUCUGGAAAGAACUUGUCACUGCUUUUUGCAAAAGUCUAUUCAAAUCUUUUCAUUUCCGCCAUCGUCCUGAACCCCCUCCUCUCACAUCAGUGUUUUCAUUGAAGCCAAAGACUCUUCCCCCAUCCCUCCCUCUUGUCGGAUGGCCAUAAAGCUAUACACGCGUGGUGGAGUGGGAGUGUGGCAGGCCGGUGGAGUUGAAGCCAGCUGUGAAGGUGUUGUAUGGAUGUAGGUUGGGCAUGCCCACCAGCGAGUUGGGGAUCAUGGUUAUGGUGUUGGGCGUCAUGAGCGGGAUAUCGUCAGGCGAGCGUCGCAGAGUCAGCGUGUAGUCGGGAAGCGAAGCCAGCCGUAAGGGGUCUCCGGGUGGCCCUGCGUCACACUCGUGGUGCGUCUGGUUGACCUGCAGGGACAUGAUCUCCUCUUCAGGGGCGUGCCGGUUCACGUCGUUGGCGGUGGUGGCUCGUGGAGGGCUGGGCUGUGGGUGCUGCUCCUGUCUGCGCUUAUCCUUGCGGUAGUACAGAGCGGCGAAUGCCAGAACGUUGAGGAACAGCAGAGAAGCUCCCACUGCGAUGGUUACGCUCAGCUCGGUGGAGUAAUCCCGUGGGUUCUCCACCAACAGAGGGCCUGGUUCCUCUUCUCCAUUCCACUGCUCCUUCCCGCUCUCGCUGUUGUAGGCUGGAGACAUCGGAGGCCGCUUGGUGUUGAACGGCCAUGCUUUGCCGUUGGGACGUUUGGUGGACAGGGAGUUCUGAGUCGUCUCGGGCGGUGGCACUUUGGUGGUGGUGGAGGUGUAGUGGAACAUGUCGUGAAGGUUGUACAGAUGAGGAACCAGGUGCUUCCAGAACGCCACUUUAGUGGCGCGGUAGUGAUCCCGGACUCGUGGCUUGAGGCCGAUGUGCAGGUACAGCUGGUCUUGCGGGUUGUAUUUGGACCAGGCUACCUCUUCGAAGCGAUUGGCCUUAGUGUGGAUGAACUUGGUGUCCU